AACCUCUAUUGUGAAAUAAGAGGUGACAUGAGUGAUGCUAGUGUUUACGUAAUAAUAGAUGUAACCUCUGAAAAAAAUUUUGGAGGCUAGAGAGAACCAUAAUCACUGUUCAUCAACUUUUUACUACAUAACUGACCAUGCACUGGGGAAUUCAUAAACAUCAAUUCACCUUAAUGAACCUAAAUUGAGACACUAGAGCAUGGAAGUCGGGAGCUUGCCUUUUGGAACAAACUGCAUGGAGUCAAAGCCAAGCAAUUCCACUUAUGAGCUGUGCGACCCCGAGCAAGUCACACAACGUCCCUGUGCCUCAAGUCUGUAAUAUGAGGCUAAUGUUAGUAGGUAAAAUUAAUGAGGUGAGAAGCAAUUAUUGCCCAAUCAGUAAAAGACAGGGUGAUGAAGGGAGGACAAAGAAAACAUCAAUCACGAACUGAAGAGCUGAUAAAGACCACAGAACAGAAGGUCCGAAAGAGAGCCACCGGAAAAGGUCUUAAAAAUUAUCAGAGGACAAGACAGUGGAGGGUGGACUAGACAUGAUUAAAAGAGUACAACACCGCUUCUUCCUUCGAUGACUUGUGUGAUGUGGCAAUGCAAUCUCCAGAACCUCAAUACCUUGAAUCAGAUUUUGCGCACAAGCACAAACAUUAAUUGGAGGCUUCCAAAACUUGCUCUGAGGUUUGAAAAUUUUCCAAAUAUAAAGUGAAAAAUUAGAAAGAUACCAAAUACCUCCUGGGCACCAGUUUUGCAGCUGGAGGGAAAGAAAGAGCCAGCCCUCAGCCGAGGAAAGACUCGGUUGAAUUACUGGCUCAUGUGAAGGGGGAGUGGAAUCAAGCUGACCUUUGCCCUUUGAUGAAUUUCAGAGCAACGACAAGACUAGUAUGUGAGGUCCAGAGACAAGUUGGAAUGAUUUGCCUGAAGUGAGUCUGAGACUGGAGACUGGCUCUUCCACCCUCUCCAAGGGCUCUUUCAAACUGUGCACCACAGUGGACCUGGUUUGUUUUGGAAGUACUUGGCUCAGUUCUCUUUGUACAAGCAUACGUGAUCCAGACAGCCUUGGCUUGCAGCUCAACUUUGCAGGGGCAGUGAGUCUGUGCCUGCAAUAAUGUGAAUUCGUUUCCUGACAAGAAGCAGAAAUUUCAAGGUUAUACACACUCUCCAGUGAACAGCUGUCUGAUAUCAACUCCUUGUCCCCAGAGUUGAAGCUUCUGAGUCAAACCAGUGGGGGAACAGGUUUGAAGAAAGGAAGAAGAGAACAGCCAGACUUCCUCACCUACUCCACAGGAAGUGCAGUUGGAAGGCUCAUUUCCUUGGCAUUCUUGGCAGGUUCUGGUCACCACAUCAAGCACCACUGGAGUGAACAAUCCUUUUGGCCCACUGCAGAGCGUGGAGUCCCAGCCCUAAGGAGACACGUAUGCACAUCUGGUUGUCCAUGUCAAAACAGAUCCCCUGUGCCAUGGUGCAUAAUGAGAAGGCUGUGCUCCCAGCCCAGACUUUUAGUUGAUGGCACUAAUGCCUACUGGGAAUAUCCCAGCCCCACCCUGGCUCCGGUUUCUGAGCUAGGAGAUUUUUCAAGGAAUCAUUUGGAUGUGACUAGUUAAAAAAACAAAAAUCGCCCUUUAAAAAAAAACUGCGUAAAAGCUUUCUGAAGUCUCUAAACAAGGAAGCUACUAGAUGCUCUGCUGGAAGGAAGAAUGGGAAUGUUUAUU
Molecule: long non-coding RNA, 1703 nt
Organism: Canis lupus familiaris (dog)
Lineage: Eukaryota; Metazoa; Chordata; Mammalia; Carnivora; Canidae
Exons: 9
Source: RefSeq, a predicted model, not a curated record